This 480-nucleotide ribosomal RNA is filed under the name Limnodrilus grandisetosus. RNAcentral's name for it is "partial 16S ribosomal RNA". It matches the Rfam family "Bacterial large subunit ribosomal RNA", at positions 1831 to 2597 of the family's 2925-position model. Lineage: Eukaryota; Metazoa; Annelida; Clitellata; Tubificida; Naididae. The record is from RNAcentral.
UGCCGCUUGAAAUUAUAGGCGGUACAUCCUGCCCAGUGACACGUUAAACGGCCGCGGUAUCCUGACCGUGCAAAGGUAGCAUAAUCAUUUGCCUAUUAAUUGUAGGCUAGUAUGAAUGGACAAACGAGGAUCUAUCUGUCUCCUUUUAGUUUCUAAAACUUUAUUUUUAAGUGAAGAAGCUUAAAUUCAUUCGCAGGACAAGAAGACCCUAUAGAGCUUUACCUAAAAUUUUAAUAAAUAAAACCUAUACGGUUCGGUUGGGGCGACCAAGGAACUUAAAACAUCCUACACUUAUUAGAUAUACAAAUCUAAACAAAGAUCCUUAGUCAAGAUCACAGAAUUUAGCUACCUUAGGGAUAACAGGCUAAUUCCUCUAGAGAGCUCAUAUUGACAGAGGAGAUUGGCACCUCGAUGUUGGCUUAGGAUCUCUUUGUGCUGCAGCAGGCACAACAAGAUAGUUUGUUCAACUAUUAAAUUCCU